AUUAACGCGAAGAACCUUACCAGGGCUUGACAUCCCGCGAAUCCCUUCGAAAGAAGGGAGUGCCCGCAAGGGAGCGCGGAGACAGGUGGUGCAUGGCUGUCGUCAGCUCGUGUCGUGAGAUGUUGGGUUAAGUCCCGCAACGAGCGCAACCCUCACCUCUUGUUGCCACCAGGUCAUGCUGGGCACUCUAGAGGAACUGCCCCGGUCAACGGGGAGGAAGGCGGGGAUGACGUCAAGUCAUCAUGCCCCUUACGUCCUGGGCUACACACGUGCUACAAUGGCCGGUACAAAGGGAUGCCACACCGCGAGGUAGAGCUAAACCCAAAAAGCCGGUCUAAGUUCAGAUUGGAGUCUGCAACUCGACUCCAUGAAGGAGGAAUCGCUAGUAAUCGCGUAUCAGCACGUCGCGGUGAAUACGUUCCCGGGUCUUGUACACACCGAAU
Molecule: ribosomal RNA, 443 nt
Filed under: uncultured bacterium
Lineage: Bacteria
Description: bacterial SSU rRNA
Rfam family: Bacterial small subunit ribosomal RNA
Source: RNAcentral